AUGCUCUUAUGCAUCAGAGAAUAAUCACUCGUCGCAAUUCGUAUUAUAGAACAUUUAUUUCACUGUUUGUUUUUGUGAUUGAUUGAUUGAGAGAGAGAGAGAGAGAGAGAGAGAGAGAGAGAGAGAGUGGGUGUGGCCUGUGUAAAGUGUCUCUCACCUGUGGGUAUUAUGUAGAUAGUGGGUGGACAUUGAAAUAUAGUCUUGGAUGAAGACUAUAACCAUUUGAUUGAAAAUCUAUUUUGAAAGCUUUUUUUCAUAGAA
This is a long non-coding RNA of Macadamia integrifolia, 261 nucleotides long. RefSeq lists it as uncharacterized. Lineage: Eukaryota; Viridiplantae; Streptophyta; Magnoliopsida; Proteales; Proteaceae. The transcript is spliced from 2 exons. The record is from RefSeq and is a predicted model, not a curated record.